GCUGGUUCCGGGGCCGGCGGCCGAGGGGCAAGCGGACCGUCGGAGCUGGACGCCGUCAGGAGGGCCGGAGCCGGGGCCAGGGGGAAGUGGAGGAGGCGGAGCAAGGGCCCUCAGGCCCGGGCGAAGCGGCCUGUUGUCUGGGGUCAGGUCUCUGGGCCGUGGAGUCUUGCGCUGUCCCCGCUCGUCCUGUCUCUAGUGGCUGUAUCCACCCUGAGCUAAACAUGUAGAAGACGAAGUGCGGCGCCGGGGUUUGCCCGUCCCCGGCUCGCAGCGCCGGGGCGGGGAGCGCAGGUGCGUGGUGCCCGGGCAGGUGAGUGCAGCGAGCCGAGGUGCACCCUGCAGUCCCCACCCGUACGCCCAGGCCCGUGGGCUGAGCCUGGCCCGGUGUCCUCUCCAGUGGCUGCCUCCGCCAGCAUAAGGAGAACAGCACCAUCUGUCUUCUGCUUUUGUUUUUCCAAAGCCUGGAUGCUUCACAAUUGCCAGCGUUCGCCCUAUAAGUAAUACUCCACACCGCCUCAUUUGCUCCUUCAUCUUCCACUGCUCUGUUGCCGCUUUCUCCAGUGUGAAGAACAGCAAAGAAUGAGUGCAGUUGGGGUCCAAGAGAGAGAAUUGUAUCACCUCGAUAGAGAGGAGAGUGUGAAAAUACAGCUUCUCAACUCUCUUCACGAUUUUUUCCUGUGACAAGGUUAAUAGCUGUAGGCUAUGCAAAGCUCUGGCCCGAGUGCUUCACCAGUGCAGGAGGUGGCAGAUUUCAGGACUAGAGAUGCCAUUUUCCAGCGCAGCAAGUUCUGUGUCCCUUUGAUUAAGAGACUGGGUGCAAAGAGACAACCAGCCAGUCAAUUUUUGGGUUAAAAUCCAGAAACAAAGAGGAAUUGAAGCAACCCAUUCAUUCUGAAGAUAAGGGUGAGGUGGCACAAAUGUCAUCCAAAUUGCUGAGCUUCUCUGUAUUGCCUGCGUUACAUUCGCAGGUCAAACGCAGUGUGAAGGCAACGUGAAAAUCUAGCUGCCAAGGCAUCUCAGCUAUGUCAGAAAGACUUGCUGCUCUCUGCUUUCUUGGAGCUAAAAGAUUUCAGUAAGUUGUUGAGCUGAAUGCUUCAUCCUCCUACCUCACAAGCUUCUGGAGGUGACAGAUGUUUCCUCAGGGCCUGUUAUUUUAGACACCUCCAUGAUUUAUAUAUCUCUGCAAGCCUGGUGGGUGGAAUUGGAUGUCACAGACAAGCUGAAAAUAACUCAUAGACUCUGCUAUCUACUGGCCCAUGUAGAAAAAUUCUGAGAUCAAAUUGAAUCACAUUAUAUGUGCCUGGCAGAUGCAUUGAGAUGUACAGAUGGAGCAAUGGUGGGUUAAAGUGAAGCUGAAGUGCUCUGUGGAGAGUGCUGGCAAGGACUCUGCAAUAACAUCGUGCACAGCAGAACCACCGUGGCUGAAUCCUUACAACUGUUUUGCAAAGAUCAGCAGUAGCUUAGAGAGGAAAAAUUCAUAUCUAGAACAAUGUGUAAUUCCCUGUGCAAUCGUGGCAUAGAAAUGGAGAGAAUGUCUUUGGCCUCUGCAUAAGAGGUUAAUGGAGAUACCCGGACACAUGGGCCUUACACAGCUAUGCUUGGGUGUGCCUUAAGGAAUGCCAAGGGGCUUUAAACCUGCUUCCAGGGUCCUUCUCACCAGAAGCAAUACUCGAUCUCUCCAGUGAUAUCCCAUAGUGUACCUCAGCCCAAGACACGCGGCUCUCCUCAGGAGGAAAAUGCUGCAUCAUUGGAAGACUUGGGUGAAAUUUUAAGUGGCACAGCAGGAGUAGAACCCAAGGCUGCCUUCUGAUUCACUGUUAUCCAGCACAUUUUGGACUUGUCCGUCCAAAACUUUGGUUAUGAUGUCAGUGAGAUAAGUGGCAUGAAAUGGCUGGGAGUGUGUUAGAUCCAUUAGAUCUAUCAGAUCUUACAGUGUCCUGAUGUAUGUGGCCUUGCAGGAGUGUGGCAACAACUCCUCUGAUCUGCAGCUUAUUACUCUAGUGGAAAACAUAACAAGAAUAUGGCUUUGUAAUUAUUUUUUUAA
Long non-coding RNA from Pogoniulus pusillus (Red-fronted tinkerbird), 2044 nucleotides. RefSeq lists it as uncharacterized. NCBI's taxonomy places the organism in Eukaryota, Metazoa, Chordata, Aves, Piciformes, Lybiidae. The transcript has 2 exons. The record is from RefSeq and is a predicted model, not a curated record.